UAUACCUACGGGAGGCAGCAGUGAGGAAUAUUGGUCAAUGGGCGCGAGCCUGAACCAGCCAAGUCGCGUGAGGGAAGACGGUCCUAUGGAUUGUAAACCUCUUUUGUCGGGGAGCAAAAGACGCCACGCGUGGCGGUCCGAGAGUACCCGAAGAAAAAGCAUCGGCUAACUCCGUGCCAGCAGCCGCGGUAAUACGGAGGAUGCGAGCGUUAUCCGGAUUUAUUGGGUUUAAAGGGUGCGCAGGCGGUAGAUCAAGUCAGCGGUAAAAUUGAGAGGCUCAACCCCUUCGAGCCGCUGAAACUGGG
Molecule: ribosomal RNA, 305 nt
Filed under: uncultured bacterium
Lineage: Bacteria
Description: bacterial SSU rRNA
Rfam family: Bacterial small subunit ribosomal RNA
Source: RNAcentral